UGCCCCUCACUUGCCAAUACGUCUAGAUCAGCCAGGGCGUCGGCAUGUGUAGCGUAUUAUGUUAGGCUCUCUCGAGAUAAGGAUACGAUGUCCCUUUAUCGGUUGGUUUCCUGUGUGCGGCCCGUUCGUUUUGUUGUAUGCUGCUUGAUCCUUAGGCCAAGCCCCCUCGCGUGACGACCACGCUGGCCACCCGACAUAAUGCCCCUCACUUGCCAAUACGUCUAGAUCAGCCAGGGCGUCGGCAUGUGUAGCGUAUUAUGUUGGGCUCUCUCGAGAUAAGGAUACGAUGUCCCUUUAUCGGUUGGUUUCCUGUGUGCGCGGCCCGUUCGUUUUUUUGUUACUUCGCAUCGUUCGGUGCAUUCUGGGGGCUGUGUUGGCUUUUGGUGGCUUGCUUGGCCUUUUGGCUUUGCUUGUUGCUACUUGUCGGGCUGCUUUCGGGAAUGUCGACCGUGGAGGUGCAUGAGUGGUGUUUGGUUUGUUAUGUGUGGAUGGCUGUUUGCUUGUGCAACAACGUUCACGCUGCAUACCUCCUCAGUUUUGCGGCAAGGCUUGGUUUGGCUUGUGCAUAUUGUGGGUUUCCUGUGUUGCAUACCUAGUUGAUGGAAAAGUGUGGGUUUUACGAUUUUCAUUUUCGUCUUGCGUCGUUCUUUCGGCGUGGGAUGAACAAUGAAGCGAUCUUUAUGAUCCAUCGUGCUGUUGCGUUUGCAACAAUGAUGUGGCCUAUGAAGCAUCGUUUGGUCUCUUGUAUACGGAAGCUCAUUUGGGCUUGGGUCUUUAUAAGAUCUUCGUUACGCCCUUGUUAAGCGUUCUCGCUUCUCCUAAACGAUUG
This 829-nucleotide unclassified non-coding RNA is filed under the name Centaurea argecillensis. RNAcentral describes it as "partial external transcribed spacer". The record is from RNAcentral. Lineage: Eukaryota; Viridiplantae; Streptophyta; Magnoliopsida; Asterales; Asteraceae.